GGGGAAUAUUGGACAAUGGGCGCAAGCCUGAUCCAGCCAUACCGCGUGAGUGAAGAAGGCCCUCGGGUUGUAAAGCUCUUUUGUUGGGAAAGAAAUCCUGUUGGUUAAUACCUGGCAGGGAUGACGGUACCCAAAGAAUAAGCACCGGCUAACUUCGUGCCAGCAGCCGCGGUAAUACGAAGGGUGCAAGCGUUACUCGGAAUUACUGGGCGUAAAGCGUGCGUAGGUGGUUGUUUAAGUCUGUCGUGAAAGCCCUGGGCUCAACCUGGGAAUUGCGAUGGAUACUGGGCGACUAGAAUGUGGUAGAGGGUGGCGGAAUUCCCGGUGUAGCAGUGAAAUGCGUAGAGAUCGGGAGGAACAUCCGUGGCGAAGGCGGCCACCUGGACCAACAUUGACACUGAGGCACGAAAGCGUGGGGAGCAAAC
RNAcentral lists this ribosomal RNA (425 nucleotides) under uncultured bacterium. RNAcentral's name for it is "bacterial SSU rRNA". It matches the Rfam family "Bacterial small subunit ribosomal RNA", at positions 356 to 773 of the family's 1533-position model. The record is from RNAcentral.